Zingiber officinale is the source of this 924-nucleotide long non-coding RNA. RefSeq lists it as uncharacterized. The transcript is spliced from 3 exons. The record is from RefSeq and is a predicted model, not a curated record. Lineage: Eukaryota; Viridiplantae; Streptophyta; Magnoliopsida; Zingiberales; Zingiberaceae.
CCGAUCCCCUACUGUGCCGUUUCCUCGCCCGAGCCUACCUCCGUGCGCCACUCUUCUUCCCCCGCCGAACCCGAGCCCUAAUUGCUCCUUGCCGGUUUCUUUUCUUCUUCCCGAGCCCGAUCCUUCUUCCUCUCCCGCGUGGCCGCGAGCCCUACCCGACGGUGGUUCCCCCAUCUCUCCUCGCGAUUUAACCUUCGGCCAAGUCUCUCCCAACCUUCUUCUUCUCUUCUCUUGCGUGCCGACGCCGCCUUUCUUUCUUCUUCCCUGCCCAAACGCCGGUGACGCGUGAGCCCCGCCGGCCGAGUCUUUUCCUCUCUUCCGGCAGCGUAUCGUCGAAUUUCCUUGUGCCCUAGUUUGGGUGUACAGCCGCCGCUGCACCUCUACACAGUGUCGCCGUCGUUUGCCCUAGUGCCGGCUAGCCGAACCUUAGAGCGUUGCUGGCUCACCGUGCCCUAGUUUUCCGACGACAAUUGUUUCCUCUCUGCCGCAUCUCUGCACAGUGCAGCCGCCCCUUUCCGAUUUCCUUUGUGCUAGCCACCGAGAUUUCCCUCUGUGCUGCCACCACCUUCUCUGACUGUAGACCAGUGUUGAGCUUUAUGCUUGAUAGUUUGAUUGUGCGAAGCUGUGCCCUAGCCGGAUCUUGGAGAGGCGUGGAUUGUUGAGGAAAUCGAGUGGUGGAGUCUUCUUCCGGCAGCAACCCCUUAUGUUGAGGAAUCAAUGGAAAGUGGACUGUUGAUUUCCUCUAGACCUUACGGGAGGAAGACUCCAGCAGGGAAGCUUGUUUCCAGUGGUGUUGUCUUGGUUCCGGCAACACUUCUUUGGCUGCGGAUCAAUAGCAGAGAUCUAUGAUUGAGGACUGUGACGCGAGAUGAGCAACUCGACGUUUGAUUUGGAUCGGAUACGACCCUUCCUAUUGGAGGCGGG